This 326-nucleotide ribosomal RNA is filed under the name uncultured eukaryote. RNAcentral describes it as "partial 18S ribosomal RNA". It matches the Rfam family "Eukaryotic small subunit ribosomal RNA", at positions 1470 to 1796 of the family's 1831-position model. The record is from RNAcentral.
CCCUUAGAUGUUCUGGGCUGCACGCGCGCUACACUGAUGCGCUCAACGAGUUUACGACCUUGCCCGGAAGGGUUGGGUAAUCUUUUUAAAACGCAUCGUGAUGGGGAUAGAUUAUUGCAAUUAUUAAUCUUUAACGAGGAAUUCCUAGUAAGCGCGAGUCAUCAGCUCGUGCUGAUUACGUCCCUGCCCUUUGUACACACCGCCCGUCGCUCCUACUGAUUGAGUGAUCCGGUGAAUAAUUCGGACUGCAGCAGUGUUCAGUUCCUGAACGUUGCAGCGGAAAGUUUAGUGAACCUUAUCACUUAGAGGAAGGAGAAGUCGUAACA